CUGAAUUUUAUUCAGGAAAACUUUAAGAAAAGAGAGUGCGUCUUCUUUACCAAAGAUCUCAAGGCCACGGACAACAUGUGUAAGUGUGGCUAUGCCCAAAACCAGCAUAUCGAAGGCACUCAGAUCAACCAAAAUGAGAAAUGGAAUUACAAGAAACACACCAAAGAAUUUCCUACUGAUGCCUUUGGGGACAUUCAAUUUGAAACAUUAGGGAAGAAAGGAAAGUACAUCCGUUUGUCAUGCGACACAGACCCGGAAAUCCUCUACGAGCUGAUGACCCAGCACUGGCAUCUGAAAACCCCCAAUCUGGUCAUCUCUGUCACUGGAGGGGCAAAAAAUUUUGCUCUCAAGCCACGCAUGCGCAAGAUAGUCAGCCGACUGAUCUACAUAGCGCAGUCCAAAGGGGCCUGGAUUCUCACUGGAGGUACUCACUAUGGUCUGAUGAAGUAUAUUGGUGAGGUGGUGAGAGAUAACACCAUCAGCAGGAAUUCCGAAGAGAACAUUGUGGCCAUUGGCAUAGCAGCUUGGGGAAUGGUCUCCAAUCGGGACACCUUGAUCAGACACAGCGAUGCUGAGGGACAUUUCUCAGCCCAGUAUAUCAUGGAUGACUUCAAGAGAGAUCCAUUGUACAUCCUGGACAACAACCACACCCAUCUCCUGCUGGUUGAUAACGGCUGCCAUGGAUUCCCAUCGGUGGAAGCCAAGCUUCGGAAUCAGUUGGAGAAAUACAUUUCAGAACGGGCAAUCCAAGAUUCCAAUUACGGUGGAAAGAUCCCCAUUGUGUGUUUCUCUCAAGGAGGUGGAAGAGAGACUUUGAAGGCCAUCAACACUGCCAUCAAAAAUAAAAUCCCUUGCGUCGUGGUGGAGGGCUCGGGACAGAUUGCUGAUGUCAUUGCCAGCCUGAUAGAGGUCGAAGACUGCCUGACAUCAUCCAUGGUCAAAGAGAAGCUCAUCAAGUAUUUGCCCCGAACCAUUUCCCGGAUCCCAGAGGAAGAAACUGAGAGCUGGAUUCGAUGGCUCAAAGAAAUCCUUGAAAACCCUCACCUGCUGACAGUCAUUAAGAUGGAAGAAGCUGGGGAUGAAAUUGUGAGCAAUGCCAUAUCCUAUGCUCUCUACAAAGCCUUCAGCACCAAUGAGCAGGAGAAGGAUAACUGGAAUGGCCAACUGAAGCUGCUGCUGGAGUGGAACCAGCUAGACCUCGCCAACGAUGAAAUCUUCACCAACGACCGCAGAUGGGAGUCUGCUGACCUUCAGGAAGUCAUGUUCUCAGCCCUGGUGAAGGACAGACCCAAGUUUGUCCGCCUCUUCCUGGAAAAUGGGCUAAACCUGAGGAAGUUCCUCACCAAUGACGUCCUCACAGAGCUCUUCUCCAACAACUUCAGCACUCUUGUGUACCGGAACCUGCAAAUCGCCAAGAACUCCUACAACGACGCGCUCCUCACCUUUGUCUGGAAGCUGGUGGCCAACUUCCGAAGAGGCUAUAGGAAGGAAGACAGGAGCAGCAGGGAGGAUCUGGACAUUGAGUUCCAGGAUGUAUCACCAAUUACAAGACAUCCCCUUCAAGCCCUGUUCAUUUGGGCCAUUCUUCAGAACAAGAAGGAGCUCUCCAAGGUCAUUUGGGAGCAGACGAGAGGCUGCACCCUGGCCGCCCUGGGAGCCAGCAAGCUGCUGAAGACCCUGGCCAAGGUGAAAAAUGACAUCAAUGCUGCAGGGGAAUCUGAAGAGCUGGCAAAUGAGUAUGAAACUCGAGCUGUGGAACUCUUCACAGAAUGCUACAGCAGUGAUGAAGACCUCGCCGAGCAGCUCCUGGUAUACACCUGUGAGGCCUGGGGCGGCAGCAACUGUCUGGAGCUCGCCGUGGAGGCCACUGACCAGCAGUUCAUUGCACAGCCAGGAGUCCAGAAUUUCCUUUCCAAGCAAUGGUACGGAGAGAUAUCGCGGGACACCAAGAAUUGGAAGAUUAUUCUUUGCCUGUUCCUCAUACCUCUGGUUGGCUGUGGCUUUGUGUCCUUCAGGAAGAAGCCUAUGGACAGGCACAGAAGGCUGAUCUGGUCCUACCUGGCUUUCUUCACGUCGCCCUUCGUGGUCUUCUCCUGGAACGUGGUCUUCUAUAUUGCCUUCUUGCUGCUCUUUGCCUACGUGCUGCUCAUGGAUUUCCACUCAGUGCCUCACACGCCAGAGCUCAUCCUCUAUGCCCUGGUCUUUGUCCUCUUCUGUGACGAAGUGAGACAGUGGUACAUGAAUGGGUUUAAGUACUUUACAGACCUGUGGAAUGUCAUGGACACUCUUGGAUUAUUUUACUUCAUAGCAGGGAUUGUCUUCCGGCUCCACUCCUCCAACAAAAGCUCCCUGUAUUCUGGGCGGGUCAUCUUUUGCCUGGAUUACAUCAUUUUUACUCUGAGGCUCAUCCAUAUUUUCACUGUGAGCAGAAAUCUGGGACCCAAAAUCAUUAUGCUACAGAGGAUGCUAAUCGAUGUCUUCUUCUUCCUGUUCCUCUUCGCCGUCUGGAUGGUUGCCUUUGGGGUGGCUCGUCAGGGCAUCCUGAGACAGAACGAGCACCGCUGGGAGUGGAUCUUCCGCUCGGUGAUCUACGAGCCCUACCUGGCCAUGUUUGGCCAGGUGCCCAGUGACGUGGAUGGUACCACUUAUGACCUUUCCCACUGCACCUUCACUGGCAAUGAAUCCAAACCUCUGUGUGUGGAAUUGGAUGAACACAGGAUGCCCCGAUUCCCCGAAUGGAUCACCAUACCCCUUGUGUGCAUCUAUAUGCUGUCCACCAACAUCCUGCUUGUGAACCUGCUGGUUGCCAUGUUUGGGUACACUGUGGGAACGGUGCAAGAAAACAAUGACCAGGUGUGGAAGUUCCAACGCUACUUCCUGGUCCAGGAGUACUGCAGCCGCCUGAACAUCCCCUUCCCCUUUGUGGUCUUCGCUUACUUCUACAAGGUGGUCAAGAAAUGCUUCAAGUGCUGCUGCAAGGCGAAGCACACCGGCAAUGCUGCUUGCUGUGUCACGAACGAUGACAACGAAACCCUGUCCUGGGAAGCUGUGAUGAAAGAAAACUACCUUGUCAAGAUCCACACCAAAGCCAACGACCAUUCGGAAGAAAUGAGACACCGAUUCAGACAGCUGGACACGAAGAAAAAGUCUCGUGGCAAGGGCAAAGGAUGCUUGGUGGACAGCCUGAGGAUGCCACUGAGAUCUCCUUAAUGUCAGCAAAAAAAAUCAAAGAACCCCCCAGAACCCUAACAGUAGGGAACUUCUGGGACCUGGGCAAGAAUUGCAUGGAUGAGCAGGCAGGGAUUCAUCGGGAUCAUCAUCAGUAGGGGGUAUUCUAGCUCUGGAGAUCGCCUAUCCACAUUUGAGGAAAAGGAGGACAAAGAAAGCAACCAUGUUCUACCAAGAAUGUUUCUUUGAAUUAGCGAUCUAGCCAGCGAGAAGCCAACUGAAUAGACAUUACUCUGAAUCUGUGUGAUUUUUGUCGCUUAUCUACAAAUCGGAUUUAUGAACUCAAACGAGCUGUGCCUCCCCUACCUGACAAUUAAGUGGAAUGCACACUACUGACAUUCUCUUGUUCUCAAGUACACAAUUUGUGUGUACAAGUUUAGUCUUCUAUUGUACAUUCGGGGAGCAGGACACCAGAUGGGCAGUGAUUGGUUUAGCUUCUUGGAAGCAUUAUUUUCUUGUAGACUCAACUCUAACAGCUUGUUGCACAUGAUCAUGCCUAACCCUGUACCUUCUGAGGGUGGUCUGAGGGAGGGCAGUGCUCAUUUGCUAAUGGCUUGCCCAUUUACCUUCAGGAAAUACGUGAUGGAGUAUGAAAUGAAUGAGAAUAAUCUAUGAUAUAUUGGCUGUCCUGAAUGCUUGAUUUCUACAUGUAUUCCAUAGAUAAAUCGUAAUUCGAUGUUCAGGAAUUUGAUUGGCUAAUUUGUAAUUAAUACCAGCCCUAUUUGUUUCUUUUUCAAAGCUGAAUGAUCUCAAAGGUCUUCUGAAAGAGAUUGCUUAUAAAAUCAAAUAACACCAAACAGUCAGAAAACAUCAUCUGCGACUAAGGACCAACUUCUAACAGAGACAUCUUGGGAUCACCAUCACCAAUGAAAAGAUGCCAGGAAAUCGAAUCACCUUUUUUGUAAGCAGAAAAACCCAAAAUGGUCUGCUGAGUGACACUUCUUUUAGCAGGAGCAUAAGGAGGGUUUUUAAGGGCUCCUGGCCCAACUGAUUCCUCAAAACCCAGGGCCACAUGUUUAUCCAUGAAGAUGGAUGUUGGCAGGGACAUUAUGUGUUUCUUGUUCUUCCUGACUCAACCUUAUCUCCUAGUCUGGUUCUCAAUAAGUACUUUAUUAAAUUUUCUUAUUUCAUAUUAAUAUUUCCUAUUAUUCAAUCACUUGUAAACCCCUGGAUCUCACAGGACAGUUUCUUAUCUAAGAGCUAGAUCAAGACUUUAUCUUCCAUUGGAUUAGUGAUGGUGCAAUGGAAAGAGUGCUAAAUCUGGAGUCAGAGAAACAGGGUUCAAAAUUCUUCUCUACUACUUACUAGCUGUAUGACCUUGGGCAAGUCAUUUAACCACUUGGGGCCUCAGCUUCUUCCAUCAAAUGUAACAUGAGUAGCUUGACCAAGAUGGCCUCCAAAGCCAUUCUUAAAUCAAAAUCUUGAGUUCUUCAAUGUUCUUGCUGUUGUGUUCCUGAUUGGCUCUCCUCUCCUACCACAUUCUCAUCACUUGACUGCUGAACCAUCAUAUUUCAUAAGUGGUCCCAAGCAUCCCAGAAGAGCCAUAUUGCUCAGUAAUAUUCUUAUUUUCAUGAAAACUCUCCACUCAUCAAAGAUGACCUUGAGCUAUGCCUUUCACAAAUUUGCAAGAAAUUACCUACUGAAGAGAAAGGAGAUUCUAGGACAGAGGCCCAUAAUAGCACUGAUUAUUAUCAAAAAUGUAUUUUCCAUUAAGGAAUGAUCAGAAGAUUUUUCUAAUUGGCUGACUGGAAACCCAUGGUCUAAUAAUAGGCUGUGUUGCCAGCAGAAGAUGAAUACUAGGAGCAAGAAUACUCUGGGCAGUUGUUCCCUUCUUGUUGUUUCCCAAAAUGCCUCUUGAGAGAUACAAAAAUGAAGAUAGGUCUUAGGGACACAGGAGCACGUAGAAAUGCUCAAAGAAAAUACUCAGCUCAUAGAUCAAAGGGGAAUAAAUGCAGUCAUCUCAGUGCUGGGAAGUCAAGGGAAUUAAACUGAAAAGUUAAUGUCAAACCUCACUGGGAGUCAUUGUACAUUCCUGCUGUUUUCAAAGCUCUCCAAGAAGAGAUGGAGACUUUGCCUAAGAAAAAAGCAUGGAAAGUUCAGGGGGAAUUAUAACCUGCUCUUGCUCAGCUUUUCAACUUCUGAAUAGCUCAUAAAUAUACCAGAGAAGCAGAGGAAGCUUGGAAACAAACUAUUAAAAAGUCAUCAUAAACAAAACUCCUAAAGCUUGAGCCAGGAAGAUUAACUGUUUAACAUCAACUGCCUCCGUUUCUUCAUCUGUAACACUGGAGGAGUUGGGCUUGGAAGUCCUUUCCAGCCUACCAGAGUAGGCACUAAACAGAUAUUUGUAGAGGAUUGGAUUGGAUUGAAUUGAAUCUGCUCAUUGAUAUUUUUACUGACUCUCCAUCACAAACCUCCAUUUUUGACAGGGAAAAUGGAACAUCCAGCCAGUAAACAGACUAAGACUAGAAAGCGGGUGGGAACUCCUUCUCACCUUAUCAAAGGUGAUUCCUGACUUAGAUGACUUUAUGGAGAGACACUGGGGAAAACCUCAGGAUUCACUCAAGGAAGAAAAGUUCUUUAAAUGGUGGUCUAUACAGUUUCUACAUGCCCUAGCUUGUCAAUGAGAAAAUGCUGGCUUUUUGAAGCAUAGCUGAUAAGAUGGCUCACAGGCGCUGUACAGUAGCUCAAACCCAAGGUGCUAUGUCCAUCCCUCUGUAUGGUACAUGUUUACUCAGUUCAAGUACUGGCAACAGCCACAUAAUCUAAAUAAGAAUGGAGUGCAUCUUGGCUUAAACAAAUUUAUCUACAAAUUAAAUAUCAUAUGAAUCAUAA
Molecule: non-coding RNA, 6060 nt
Organism: Monodelphis domestica (gray short-tailed opossum)
Lineage: Eukaryota; Metazoa; Chordata; Mammalia; Didelphimorphia; Didelphidae
Source: RefSeq, a predicted model, not a curated record